This 320-nucleotide ribosomal RNA is filed under the name Rhipicephalus pulchellus. RNAcentral describes it as "partial small subunit ribosomal RNA". Lineage: Eukaryota; Metazoa; Arthropoda; Arachnida; Ixodida; Ixodidae. The record is from RNAcentral.
AUUGUAGUACAUACAAAUUACGAAAGCAAAAAAUUAUGGCGGUAUUUUAAGCUUUUCAGAGGAAUUUGCUCUUUAAUGGAUAAAACACCUAAAUCUUACUUAAAUUUGUUAAUACAAUUUGUAUACCACUAUUAAAAUAAUUAUUAACUUUAAUUAUUUAAAUUUACAAUAAAUAAAAAAAAUUAAGUCAAGGUGCAGUAUAAAUUUAAGAAUGAAGUGAAUUACAUUUCUUUUAAGAGAGGAAAAAUUAAAAUGCAGUUAGGAUUUGAAAGUAAAAUUAAAAUAGAAUGUUAAUUUGAAUCAAGCUCUAAAAUAUGUAC